GGAAAGGUGGAAGACCUGUGGCUCUCCAUUUUGCACAACUCAGCUGCCCUAAAUUGAGAUGUAGCUAAAACUGUGAUUCUGGCGUCAAAGACACUCAUCCAGUCCUACCAUAUACUAGCAGUGUAACCUUGGGUUCUGAGGUUCAUUCAGCUUCAAGCAUGGAUCCUAAGGCAAAAACAGUUGCAAGGUGAGACUGAGUACACUUCCCUGAUUCAACCCAGGCUUAUCAAACCAGAGAGCAGAGGAGAAAGAGUCCCCAGCGAUCCACAACUGGUGCACAGUCCACAGGCCUGGCAUGAUAAGGCCUGGGACGAUUCAACGUCUAGUACAGUGCCUGGCUUAGGAGCCCGUAUCCCUGUAUCCUGUCUUCCAUUGACCAAGCACUUCACACAGCUGAUGAAACUCAAGCACAGAGAUGGUACUAUACUGUCUAUUAAAGGUCACCAACGUCAAGGCCAAUGAUGACUUCCGUGUUGCCAAAUCCAGUGGUCACUCCUUGGGCUUUAGCUAACUGAGCCUCCCUACAGGACUGGAAAUAUCUGGUCACUCCCUCCUGCAUGCAGUCUUCUCUCCUGGGUUUCCUCCUCCCUCACCAGCUGCCCCUUCUUAGUCUCUUCUGCUCAAACCACCUGCUCUUCUGCCCCACACUUUAGUCCUUGGACUUCUCUCUCUCACUCUCCAUCUCUCUCUCACUAGCGUCUCAUAUAGUUCUAUGAAUACUGAUGACAAACAAAUUUAAUCUAUUUUCAAGCUUUACUCUGAAGUCUGGACUUGAAUAUCCAACUGUCCUC
Long non-coding RNA from Mirounga angustirostris (Northern elephant seal), 791 nucleotides. RefSeq lists it as uncharacterized. NCBI's taxonomy places the organism in Eukaryota, Metazoa, Chordata, Mammalia, Carnivora, Phocidae. The record is from RefSeq and is a predicted model, not a curated record. The transcript has 3 exons.